AUGCACGCUGGCGGCGUGCCUCAUCCAUGCCAGUCGAGCGCACAGACGAGGAGCUUGCUCCUCUGACGUUAGCGGCGGACGGGUGAGUAACACGUGGAUAACCUACCUAUAAGACUGGGAUAACUUCGGGAAACCGGAGCUAAUACCGGAUAAUAUAUUGAACCGCAUGGUUCAAUAGUGAAAGACGGUUUUGCUGUCACUUAUAGAUGGAUCCGCGCCGCAUUAGCUAGUUGGUAAGGUAACGGCUUACCAAGGCAACGAUGCGUAGCCGACCUGAGAGGGUGAUCGGCCACACUGGAACUGAGACACGGUCCAGACUCCUACGGGAGGCAGCAGUAGGGAAUCUUCCGCAAUGGGCGAAAGCCUGACGGAGCAACGCCGCGUGAGUGAUGAAGGUCUUCGGAUCGUAAAACUCUGUUAUUAGGGAAGAACAAAUGUGUAAGUAACUAUGCACGUCUUGACGGUACCUAAUCAGAAAGCCACGGCUAACUACGUG
Molecule: ribosomal RNA, 496 nt
Filed under: uncultured bacterium
Lineage: Bacteria
Description: partial 16S ribosomal RNA
Rfam family: Bacterial small subunit ribosomal RNA
Source: RNAcentral